CCCUUAGAUGUUCUGGGCCGCACGCGCGCUACACUGAUGCAUUCAACAAGCCUAGCCUUGACCGAGAGGUCCGGGUAAUCUUUGAAACUGCAUCGUGAUGGGGCUAGAUUAUUGCAAUUAUUAAUCUUCAACGAGGAAUGCCUAGUAAGCGUGAUUCAUCAAAUCGCGUUGAUUACGUCCCUGCCCUUUGUACACACCGCCCGUCGCUCCUACCGAUUGAAUGUGUUGGUGAGGAGGUCGGAUUGGCAGCAGUUGGUGGUUCGCCACCGGCUAUUGCUGAGAAGUCCUCCAAACCGCCCCAUUUAGAGGAAGGAGAAGUCGUAACA
This 326-nucleotide ribosomal RNA is filed under the name uncultured eukaryote. RNAcentral's name for it is "partial 18S ribosomal RNA". It matches the Rfam family "Eukaryotic small subunit ribosomal RNA", at positions 1470 to 1796 of the family's 1831-position model. The record is from RNAcentral.